UGUCUCCUCUAUCUCCUCCAAGGAAAUAGACUUCAGCCCGCUCCCUGGUAGCGGGCUUUUUUUU
This 64-nucleotide non-coding RNA is filed under the name Duganella sp. 1224. Its description in RNAcentral is "Betaproteobacteria toxic small RNA". It matches the Rfam family "Betaproteobacteria toxic small RNA". Rfam says of the family: Overexpression in amino aid rich medium attenuates growth, suggesting role in repressing amino acid intake and metabolism. Lineage: Bacteria; Pseudomonadati; Pseudomonadota; Betaproteobacteria; Burkholderiales; Oxalobacteraceae. The record is from Rfam by way of RNAcentral.